This 200-nucleotide ribosomal RNA is filed under the name uncultured bacterium. RNAcentral's name for it is "partial 16S ribosomal RNA". It matches the Rfam family "Bacterial small subunit ribosomal RNA", at positions 524 to 723 of the family's 1533-position model. The record is from RNAcentral.
GACGGAGGGUGCAAACGUUGUUCGGAAUUACUGGGCAUAAAGCGCACGUAGGCGGUUUGAUAAGUCAGUUGUGAAAGCCCUCGGCUCAACCGGGGAACUGCAAUUGAUACUGUCAGACUUGAGGGUGGUUGGGGUGAGUGGAACUUCUGGUGGAGCGGUGAAAUGCGUAGAUAUCAGAAGGAACACCAGUGGCGAAAGCG